This 157-nucleotide ribosomal RNA is filed under the name Fibroporia radiculosa. RNAcentral describes it as "5.8S ribosomal RNA". It matches the Rfam family "5.8S ribosomal RNA". Rfam says of the family: 5.8S ribosomal RNA (5.8S rRNA) is a component of the large subunit of the eukaryotic ribosome. It is transcribed by RNA polymerase I as part of the 45S precursor that also contains 18S and 28S rRNA. Lineage: Eukaryota; Fungi; Basidiomycota; Agaricomycetes; Polyporales; Fibroporiaceae. RNAcentral also lists the same sequence under 1 other name. The record is from RNAcentral.
UAACUUUCAGCAACGGAUCUCUUGGCUCUCGCAUCGAUGAAGAACGCAGCGAAAUGCGAUAAGUAAUGUGAAUUGCAGAAUUCAGUGAAUCAUCGAAUCUUUGAACGCACCUUGCGCUCCUUGGUAUUCCGAGGAGCAUGCCUGUUUGAGUGUCAUG